RNAcentral lists this long non-coding RNA (1171 nucleotides) under Pan troglodytes (chimpanzee). RNAcentral describes it as "long non-coding RNA NONPTRT005212". Lineage: Eukaryota; Metazoa; Chordata; Mammalia; Primates; Hominidae. The record is from RNAcentral.
GGAGUUCGAGACCAGCCUGGCCAACAUAAUGAAACCCUGUCUCUAUUAAAAGAUACAAAAAAUUAACUGGGUGUGGUGGCACACACCUGUAAUCCCAGCUACUUGGAAGGCUGAGGCAGGAGAAUCACUUGAACCAGGCAGGCGGAGGUUGCAUGAGCCGAGAUUGCACCAUUGUACUCCAGCCUGGGCGACGGGACCAACAGGGAUCUGGGCAUCUGCCCGCCACACCUGUCCUCCUGGGAGGCUGGGAGGCCUGGGGCCCCCACUCUCAAAGCCUACCCUUCUGGCCACUGUCUCUCUACAGUUACAGAGCAAAGGCCCCCGACCCACCCCUGCCGCCGUCACCAGAGGAGCAGCCCCACAAGCCCCCACAGCGUGGUCACACCUGGCUUGGGGGACAGCCGCACCCCACAUGCAAGGUAGCCCUUGGGAACUUCUGCUCCAGACGCACCAGGUGGGGAAGGCCAGAGCUGGCCAUUCAGGGUUUUUUAGGGCCAGACAAGAGCAAGGCCCUGUGUCUGCUCGGGAGGUGGAGCAGACCACACUGGCCCCAUGCACAGGGGCUCUUUGGGUCCCUCGUCCCAUCUUUCCAGCUCCUUCCAACUUUGCCCCCUGGACAUUUCUUGCUCUGACCCUCCCUUCCCUUAUUCCUGGCCUUGUCUCCCUCUGGGCCCAGGCCUUCCCAGACUGACUGGACAAAUUAGCAAGCAAUCACCAGCUUUGGCUUCUGCAGGGUCCAGACAGGCCAGGAGAACGGCUGGUGAGCCCACCGGACAGCAGGGCGGUUUCUGGUGCACACAUCGGGAUGUGAAGUUGCACCCCAUGUCUGCAGCUUGGACCUCACCACUGCUGUGUCUGGGCCGCAGGGAGCUGUUCUGGCACGUGACUCAGCCGUGGGAUGUUCGGGUGACUUCCUGUCUGAAACCUGCUCUCCUGUUGACCCCAGUGAAGGAUCCAAAGAGAGGAUUCAACUGACCUCACUUGAAUCGGCUAUUCCCGGACUGCCUGGCAAAGGCCAGAAGGCAUGGAGGGUGACAAUGGCCUGAGCCGGGUCCGCAUGUCACUCCUGGACCCCUCACCAGGGGGCGCAGAGGAGGCCUGGUGAACGUGACAGACCACCCAGUGGGGCGCAGGACGGGGCAGGUCCUAGGAGGCUGCUGGGGCCAGCGAC